Molecule: transfer RNA, 73 nt
Filed under: Zootermopsis nevadensis
Lineage: Eukaryota; Metazoa; Arthropoda; Insecta; Blattodea; Termopsidae
Rfam family: tRNA
About the family: Transfer RNA (tRNA) molecules are approximately 80 nucleotides in length.
Source: Rfam by way of RNAcentral
GCCGCGGUGGUCUAGCGGUUAGAACGCUGGCCUUGUAAUCCUGGGGUCUCGGGUUCGAUUCCCGGCGGUGACC